CAUCUGAAAGAUCAUGUGAUUUCCUUCACAAUUUUAUCUCAGUACGAAUACUGUAACUACAGUUGUGUUUACGUAGUAAACAGCUGAAGCAAUAUCCUGAUCUCAAUUCACGGGUGUUUUUACUUACAAACCUUUUGUGAACUUUAGUGACGAAGUGAAAACGAGAAACGAAUAUGACUGACAAAGAUGCCCCUACUGCCACGGGUUCAGAAGCAAUUACAGCAGCAAGACACGAAGAAGGUUGGAGUGUACCGUGCUAUAAAUCUUUGUUAACGCGAGAAGAUAUUUCGAAAAACCGCGCGAAGACGAUGGCUCCAGAAAAUUCGUUUGGGGCAUCUAACAAAAGCAAGGAUGUCAAGAAUGCCACGAAUAAAAUUACAAUUCGUCAGUGGCAAAUUCUGCUGCUUUUGUCAGUGAGCAAUCUUGUGAUUGCAGCUUGUAUAUCAUUACAAGCUCCCUUCUUUCCAAGAGAGGCAGAAGAGAAAGGUGCAUCUCCUACCAUAUAUGGUUUUGUAUUUGGAGUUUACGAGCUUGGUGUCUUUAUAUCUUCUCCAAUCUAUGGAAAAAUUAUUUCUUGGAUCACACCCAAAUUCUUGGUCAAUGCAGGGCUAUUUGUUGCAGGAACAACAACUAUAUUGUUUGGUUUCCUAGAUCAUUCGCCACCUGGGACACCAUUUAUUGUUUUAGCCAUUUUAGUUCGAUUAGUGGAAGGAUUUGGAGCUGCGGCGUUUGUCACUGCAAGCUACACUUAUGCCGCUGCAGAAUUUCCAGGCAGAGUUGCUUCAGCAUUCGCAACAAUCGAAACGUUUUUUGGGUUAGGACUCCUGCUUGGGCCUACGAUAGGUGGUGCUUUAUAUCAGGCUGGAGGAUACCCACUUCCAUUUGUUGUACUUGGGGCGACCCAACUUUUUGUGGAGGUUUGUUCCAUAUUUAUUCUUCCACGGCCUGAUCGCAAUGAAAAGCCGAAGUCGGGCAACAUGUUCAAAUUUUUAGCUGAUACCGGAGUACUUCUUGAUGGGCUUCUUAUCACAACAACUUUGGUGUUCUUAGGAUAUAACUCAGCGACGUUAGAGCCUCAUCUUCGCCAGUUUGACUUGCAACCGGUUGUGCUGGGCACCAUUUUCAUGAUAACGGCAACUAUCUACGUUAUCACCACGCCAGUGUGGGGAUGGCUGUGUGACCGUGGUUUUGACCCCAAACUGCUCGCGGUCAUCGGCGGAGUCAUGUGUAUUGUUAGCCUCAUUUUAAUUGGUCCAGCUCCAUUUCUACCGUUUACAGCGGAACUUUGGAUGAAAACGUGGCUUUCCUGACGAUAUGUCAACACAUGGUCUUGUAUCAGCGUUGUGUACCAUCUGUAUGUCCAUAGGAGCUUUCAUUGGGCCAACCAUCGGUGGAUACCUUUUGGAGCAUUUAGGCUAUCGUCAAUCCACGUUCAUCCUUUUGAUUAUGGAAGUUUCUUUG
Molecule: unclassified non-coding RNA, 1461 nt
Filed under: Limulus polyphemus (Atlantic horseshoe crab)
Lineage: Eukaryota; Metazoa; Arthropoda; Merostomata; Xiphosura; Limulidae
Description: mFS-type transporter SLC18B1-like, transcript variant X3
Source: RNAcentral